GACCUAAUAGUCUAGACGGUUAGGAUACAUGGCUUUCACCCAUGCGACCCGGGUUCGAGUCCCGGUUAGGUCA
RNAcentral lists this transfer RNA (73 nucleotides) under Pleodorina starrii. It matches the Rfam family "tRNA". Rfam says of the family: Transfer RNA (tRNA) molecules are approximately 80 nucleotides in length. Their secondary structure includes four short double-helical elements and three loops (D, anti-codon, and T loops). Further hydrogen bonds mediate the characteristic L-shaped molecular structure. tRNAs have two regions of fundamental functional importance: the anti-codon, which is responsible for specific mRNA codon recognition, and the 3' end, to which the tRNAs corresponding amino acid is attached (by aminoacyl-tRNA synthetases). tRNAs cope with the degeneracy of the genetic code in two manners: having more than one tRNA (with a specific anti-codon) for a particular amino acid; and 'wobble' base-pairing, i.e. permitting non-standard base-pairing at the 3rd anti-codon position. Lineage: Eukaryota; Viridiplantae; Chlorophyta; Chlorophyceae; Chlamydomonadales; Volvocaceae. The record is from Rfam by way of RNAcentral.